RNAcentral lists this long non-coding RNA (565 nucleotides) under Chinchilla lanigera (long-tailed chinchilla). Its description in RNAcentral is "lncRNA (ENSCLAG00000025532.1)". Lineage: Eukaryota; Metazoa; Chordata; Mammalia; Rodentia; Chinchillidae. The record is from RNAcentral.
AUGCAGAUGGGGUGGUUUCUCAGCAUCGAUGCAAUUUGGGAGAGAAUAAUCAAGAAUCGUGCUGAAAGGACAGUAAUUCACACAGAACAGAAUCCGCAAAGAAAUAAAGACCUACUGAGAUUACAACCACAAAUAUUUUCCCAGGCAUGGGAACCAUCUUGUCGGGGCCUAUUAGGCCUAGGAGCAAUGAUCCAGAGGCCUGCCAUUUCCUGGUGACUAUGGACAAGCAGGAAGAGUCCCUCUGAAGCUACUCCAGCUCUGGUAGAAAACCAGAAAAUAUGCUGUGAAGUUAGGAGGAAGGGAGGACCAGGCCUGACACAACGAUCAUCUGUACCAUGCAGAGAAGAGAGGAAGACUUCUGUUUUGUUUUGUUUAUGUGCCACAGAGAAGCCACUGAUUUGAGUUUCAAAUUAUGGCAUAAUGGUUCAUUUACGCAAACCAUAAAUGAGCUUAUGUAAUGUUCUUAUGAAUAACAUACACACCAAUCUUGGCAGGCAUUUCUCCCUUGUUAAUUCUUAUAUUUUGUUUGUAUUUAAUACACCAUUAAGAUCUAAAGUCCUAAAAU